UGGGGAAUAUUGCACAAUGGGCGCGAGCCUGAUGCAGCGACGCCGCGUGAGCGAAGAAGUAUUUCGGUAUGUAAAGCUCUAUCAGCAGGGAAGAAAAUGACGGUACCUGACUAAGAAGCUCCGGCUAAAUACGUGCCAGCAGCCGCGGUAAUACGUAUGGAGCAAGCGUUAUCCGGAUUUACUGGGUGUAAAGGGAGCGUAGACGGGACAGCAAGUCUGAUGUGAAAGGCUGGGGCUUAACCCCAGGACUGCAUUGGAAACUGUUGACCUUGAGUGCCGGAGAGGUAAGCGGAAUUCCUAGUGUAGCGGUGAAAUGCGUAGAUAUUAGGAGGAACACCAGUGGCGAAGGCGGCUUACUGGACGGUAACUGACGUUGAGGCUCGAAAGCGUGGGGAGCAAACAGGAUUAGAU
RNAcentral lists this ribosomal RNA (411 nucleotides) under uncultured Lachnospiraceae bacterium. RNAcentral's name for it is "bacterial SSU rRNA". It matches the Rfam family "Bacterial small subunit ribosomal RNA", at positions 355 to 783 of the family's 1533-position model. Lineage: Bacteria; Bacillati; Bacillota; Clostridia; Lachnospirales; Lachnospiraceae. The record is from RNAcentral.